Molecule: ribosomal RNA, 777 nt
Filed under: Tremella cetrariae
Lineage: Eukaryota; Fungi; Basidiomycota; Tremellomycetes; Tremellales; Tremellaceae
Description: Tremella sp. AMM-2022b partial large subunit ribosomal RNA
Rfam family: Eukaryotic large subunit ribosomal RNA
Source: RNAcentral
ACCUCAAAUCAGGUAGGGCUACCCGCUGAACUUAAGCAUAUCAAUAAGCGGAGGAAAAGAAACUAACAAGGAUUCCCCUAGUAGCGGCGAGCGAACCGGGAUGAGCUCAAAUUUGUAAUCUGGCGUCCUCCGGGUGUCCGAGUUGUAAUCUAUAGAAGCGUCUUUCUGUGCCGGAUCGUGUCCAAGUCCCUUGGAACAGGGUACCAAAGAGGGUGACAAUCCCGUGCUUGACACGACGACCGGUGCUCUGUGAUGCGCUCUCUACGAGUCGAGUUGUUUGGGAAUGCAGCUCAAANGUCAGUCGUGUUGUGGAGGACUCAACCGGUCCUGCCGGUCUACUUCCUCCCAAUGGGUCAACAUCAGUUUUGGCCGGCGGAUAAGGGCAAUGGGAAGGUAUCACCCUUGGGUGUGUUAUAGCCCAUUGUCGUAUACGUUGGUGAAGGCUGAGGAAUGCAGCUCGCCUUUCAUGGCCGGGGUUCGCCCACGUCCGAGCUUAGGAUGUUGACGUAAUGGCUUUAAACGACCCGUCUUGAAACACGGACCAAGGAGUCUAACAUAUCUGCGAGUGUUUGGGUGUCAAACCCGAGCGCAUAAUGAAAGUAAACGUAGGAGGGAUCCGCAAGGAGCACCUUCGACCGAUCUGGAUCUUCUGUGAUGGAUUUGAGUAAGAGCAUAUAUGCUGGGACCCGAAAGAUGGUGAACUAUGCCUGAAUAGGGCGAAGCCAGGGGAAACUCUGGUGGAGGCUCGUAGCGAUUCUGACGUGCAAAUCGAUCGUC